Molecule: unclassified non-coding RNA, 301 nt
Filed under: Hevea brasiliensis (rubber tree)
Lineage: Eukaryota; Viridiplantae; Streptophyta; Magnoliopsida; Malpighiales; Euphorbiaceae
Source: RNAcentral
UGUAAAAAAUGAUACUGCAAGAAAAAAUAGAAAAACUUUAUUAGUUUCAUAAUAAUUCCUAAUUGCUUCAGGCCUUGAGCUACUACAUUAGAUUGGAUUACACUAUCAAAUUGCUCCCUUCAAAUAAAUUCUGCUUCUUGGUUGACAAUCCUAAUGAAUGAGCUAUGGAUUUGACUUCCGCGAUCAUUGCUACCUGAUCGUUGAGCUUGUUGAUGGCUGAGCCAACACCCACGCCAGCAGCUCCAGCUACGAUUGCCAUUGGUGCUGUGACUGCACUCAAUCCAGAUGAACACAUGACGGG